ACAUCCGGGCAGCCGCUGGCACAAGCCAGAGGAAAGUCCAUGCUCGCACCGCCUGUGAUGGCGGUAGUGAUUGUGCUGGUCCAAUCAAUAAGGCCAGGCAGCCUAUGGCUGACGGCGGAACCGAUCCUAAAGGCUCGUCCCAUGGUGAGGUUCCAUAAAGCGUCACAGUGACGAAGCCGGCGGGAAACCGACCGGGUGGAACGCGAUAAGCCCCGCAAGCGAGAAAUCCAAAUUUGGUAGGAGAACUCCCCGAAGCAAAACGAAGCCAGAAGGGAGGAGCCGCAAGGCUCAGAUAAAUGGCUGCCAUCCGGGCGACCGGAGACAGAACAUGGCUUACAGAG
Molecule: RNase P RNA, 341 nt
Filed under: Lachnospiraceae bacterium
Lineage: Bacteria; Bacillati; Bacillota; Clostridia; Lachnospirales; Lachnospiraceae
Also listed under: 4 other names
Description: RNase P RNA component class B
Rfam family: Bacterial RNase P class B
About the family: Ribonuclease P (RNase P) is a ubiquitous endoribonuclease, found in archaea, bacteria and eukarya as well as chloroplasts and mitochondria. Its best characterised activity is the generation of mature 5'-ends of tRNAs by cleaving the 5'-leader elements of precursor-tRNAs. Cellular RNase Ps are ribonucleoproteins.
Source: RNAcentral